CAGCCGCCGCGGUAAUACGGAGGGAGCUAGCGUUAUUCGGAAUUACUGGGCGUAAAGCGCACGUAGGCGGCUUUGUAAGUUAGAGGUGAAAGCCUGGUGCUCAACACCAGAACUGCCUUUGAUACUGCAUCGCUUGAAUCCAGGAGAGGUGGGUGGAAUUCCGAGUGUAGAGGUGAAAUUCGUAGAUAUUCGGAAGAACACCAGUGGCGAAGGCGGCUUACUGGCUCAUUCUAGACGCUGAGGUGCGAAAGCGUGGGGAGCAAACAGGAUUAGAUACCCGGGUAGUCCCUGUCUCUUAUAC
RNAcentral lists this ribosomal RNA (301 nucleotides) under uncultured bacterium. RNAcentral's name for it is "partial 16S ribosomal RNA". It matches the Rfam family "Bacterial small subunit ribosomal RNA", at positions 509 to 807 of the family's 1533-position model. The record is from RNAcentral.